GUUACACUCCACAGUAACUUGGCAGGCAAUUUCAUAUCCAAGCUCCUUUAGAAUCACUGGGUGAACAUCAUCUGGUCCUGCUGAUAUAUCACUGCUCAUGCUAUUGGCUUCUGGCCCAUCAGUUCAGGCCAUUACUCAUCACCUGCAGAUGAAAGUUCUAGCAUAGAAACUCUCCUAAUUCCUUCUACAGUGAACACUGCUGCAGCUGUCCUAGUCCCACAAGGAAGUUUCCCUCAAGUACAUUGUGGUCACUGUCACACCAUCAUUCUACAAAGGGAAUGCAGAAUGGUAUUAUUUAAAUCUAUAAGCUGAGCACUACACAUUUGGAGCUGGCUGUUUAUGCAGACAAGCUUUCCCCAAGCCUGAAAGGGAGUUUUCAGUAAUUUCAGUGCUCAGCUGAGUGCAGCCUCAGAAGAGAGAAGAGCCAAAACUCCCACCAAGGCUUCAAAAAGGACUCUGGGACAAGAG
Long non-coding RNA from Passer domesticus (house sparrow), 468 nucleotides. RefSeq lists it as uncharacterized. The transcript has 3 exons. NCBI's taxonomy places the organism in Eukaryota, Metazoa, Chordata, Aves, Passeriformes, Passeridae. The record is from RefSeq and is a predicted model, not a curated record.